RNAcentral lists this ribosomal RNA (440 nucleotides) under uncultured bacterium. Its description in RNAcentral is "partial 16S ribosomal RNA". It matches the Rfam family "Bacterial small subunit ribosomal RNA", at positions 338 to 795 of the family's 1533-position model. The record is from RNAcentral.
CCUACGGGAGGCAGCAGUGGGGAAUAUUGCACAAUGGGGGAAACCCUGAUGCAGCGACGCCGCGUGAGCGAAGAAGUAUCUCGGUAUGUAAAGCUCUAUCAGCAGGGAAGAAAAUGACGGUACCUGACUAAGAAGCCCCGGCUAACUAAGUGCCAGCAGCCGCGGUAAUACGUAGGGGGCAAGCGUUAUCCGGAUUUAAUGGGUGUAAAGGGAGAGCAGGCGGCGCGGUAAGUCUGAGGUGAAAGCCCGGGGAUCAACACCGGGAAUGAAUUGGAAACGGUCGUGCUUGAGUGUCGUAGGGGCAAGUGGAAUUCCUAGUGUAGCGGUGAAAUGCGUAGAUAUUAGGAGGAACACCAGUGGCGAAGGCGGCUUGCUGGACGACAACUGACGCUGAGGCUCGAAAGCGUGGGGAGCAAACAGGAUUAGAUACCCUUGUAGUC